CCCUUUAAAGAGCAAAAUCAGGGUGACCUGAUGGCGCAAAAUCACGGGUCCCAUGAAAGGAUAGCCGGAUUACUGAU
Molecule: non-coding RNA, 77 nt
Filed under: Trichlorobacter lovleyi
Lineage: Bacteria; Pseudomonadati; Thermodesulfobacteriota; Desulfuromonadia; Geobacterales; Geobacteraceae
Also listed under: 1 other name
Description: Geobacter lovleyi c-di-GMP sequence
Rfam family: c-di-GMP-I riboswitch aptamer
About the family: GEMM was predicted in a large-scale screen for bacterial structured RNA regulatory elements. Genes associated with GEMM are involved in a diverse array of functions, including chemotaxis regulation, signal transduction, secretion and chitin.
Source: RNAcentral